GACGAACGCUGGCGGCGUGCCUAAUACAUGCAAGUCGAACGCACAGUUUAUACCGUAGCUUGCUACACCAUAGACUGUGAGUUGCGAACGGGUGAGUAACGCGUAGGUAACCUGUCUGGUAGCGGGGGAUAACUAUUGGAAACGAUAGCUAAUACCGCAUAAUAUUGAUUAUUGCAUGAUAAUUGAUUGAAAGAUGCUAUUGCAUCACUACCAAAUGGACCUGCGUUGUAUUAGCCAGUAGGUGAGGUAACGGCUCACCUAGGCGACGAUACAUAGCCGACCUGAGAGGGUGAUCGGCCACACUGGGACUGAGACACGGCCCAGACUCCUACGGGAGGCAGCAGUAGGGAAUCUUCGGCAAUGGACGAAAGUCUGACCGAGCAACGCCGCGUGAGUGAAGAAGGUUUUCGGAUCGUAAAGCUCGGUUGUAAGAGAAGAACGGGUGUGAGAGUGGAAAGUUCACACUGUGACGGUAGCUUACCAGAAAGGGACGGCUAACUACGUG
RNAcentral lists this ribosomal RNA (505 nucleotides) under uncultured bacterium. RNAcentral's name for it is "partial 16S ribosomal RNA". It matches the Rfam family "Bacterial small subunit ribosomal RNA", at positions 28 to 507 of the family's 1533-position model. The record is from RNAcentral.